Molecule: ribosomal RNA, 460 nt
Filed under: uncultured bacterium
Lineage: Bacteria
Description: partial 16S ribosomal RNA
Rfam family: Bacterial small subunit ribosomal RNA
Source: RNAcentral
CCUACGGGGGGCAGCAGUGAGGAAUAUUGGUCAAUGGGCUUACGCCUGAACCAGCCAAGUCGCGUGAGGGAAGACUGCCCUAUGGGUUGUAAACCUCUUUUGUCAGGGAGCAAUUGGCGCUACGUGUAGCGUUAUCGAGAGUACCUGAAGAACAAGCAUCGGCUAACUCCGUGCCAGCAGCCGCGGUAAUACGGAGGAUGCGAGCGUUAUCCGGAUUUAUUGGGUUUAAAGGGUGCGUAGGCGGAAUGCCAAGUCAGCGGUAAAAUCGCGGGGCUCAACCUCGCUCCGCCGUUGAAACUGGCGGUCUUGAGUGGGCGAGAAGUAUGCGGAAUGCGUGGUGGAGCGGUGAAAUGCAUAGAUAUCACGCAGAACUCCGAUUGCGAAGGCAGCAUACCGGCGCCCAACUGACGCUGAAGCACGAAAGCGUGGGUAUCGAACAGGAUUAGAUACCCGGGUAGUC